AUGAAAAGAAUAGUAAGAGCAUACGAUGGAUGCCUUGACACAAAAUACUGAUGAAGGACGUGGUAAUCUGCGAUAAGCUUCGGGAAGCUGAUACACAAGCGUUAUAUCCGAAGAUUUCCGAAUGGGGAAACCCGGCUAGAGUUAUGUCUAGUCACUCUUGUCUGAAUAUAUAGGACAGGUAGAAGGUACCCGGUGAACUGAAACAUCUUAGUAACCGGAGGAAGAGAAAAUAAGAAUGAUUCUCCUAGUAGUGGCGAGCGAACGGGGAAGAGACUAAACCUUAUAUGUUUCCGUCUUUUAGAAGACGGAUAAGCUGACAGGCGAAAAUAUAUAAGGGGUUGCAAGAAAUCUUAUGUCAUGAAUAUUACGAUAAUUGGUGUUAAUUUAACUACGGUUAGAUUGCAGCGAUUAGAGUUAUAUUUAUGAAUGAUUAAGGACUGUCAUCCUGAUCGUAAUUUCGCUGUAUUAGUAGAAGGUUUUGGAAAGAACCGCCAAAGAACGUGAAAGCCGUGUAUACGAAAAUGCAGUUUGAACUUAUAUAGAGGUUUCUUAAGUAGGUCGGGGCACGUGCAAUCCUGACUGAAUCUGGGAGGUCCACCUCCCAAGUCUAAAUAUAUUUUGUGAUCGAUAGCGAACCAGUACCGCGAGGGAAAGGUAAAAAGAACCCCGAGAGGGGAGUGAAAUAGAUCCUGAAGUCGUAUGCUUACAAGGAGUCGGAGCCUGCUUUAUGCGGGUGACGGCGUGCUUUUUGUAGAACGAUCCAACGAGUUAAUUUUGUCGGCUUGGUUAAGUCAUUUGACGGAGCCAUAGUGAAAGCGAGCCUUAAUAGGGCGUAGGGGUCUCAUCCCUGCCAAAAGUUGUAUUGCGAGUUUAAAUCAGCUGCCUGAAACGGCGGGAAAUUUUUGAAAAGUAUCAACCUAGAUACUUAGAAAAAAUUUAACACCGUUAUCAGACGUUGAUUUCAGCUCUCAUAACCAUCUUUUGGUAGAGACGAGACCCCAAAGGUCGGCAGGAUUAGACACGAAACUAAGUGACCUAACCAUGGGCAGGUUGAAGCGGCGGUAAAACGCCGUGGAGGACCGAACCAGGGCACGCUGUAAAGUGCUUGGAUGACCUGUGGUUAGCGGUGAAAUGCCAAUCGAACUUAGAAAUAGCUUGUUCUCCUCGAAAUAGCUUUAGGGCUAGCGUGACGUGGUAGCAAGUGGGGGUAGAGCUCUGUUUACGAUUGGGGUCCGCAAGGAUACCCACCGUUGACAAACUACGAAUACCAUUUGUGAAAUCGUUGCAGUCAGAACCUGGGGGCUAAGCUCCAGGCUCGAAAGGGAAACAGCCCAGAUCGCCAUCUAAGGUCCCUAAGUCUAUGCUAAGUGGGAAACGAGGUGGAAUUUCUUAAACAAUGAGGAUGUUGGCUUAGAAGCAGCCAUUCAUUUAAAGAGUGCGUAACAGCUCACUCAUCAAGAGAUUCUGCGCGGAAAAUGUAACGGGGCUAAGCAUAGCACCGAAGAUGCGAAUUGCAGUUUACUGCAGUGGUAGAGGAGCGUUCUUGUCAGCGUUGAAGUUGGACUGCGAGGUCUGGUGGAGCGGCAAGAAGUGAGAAUGUUGGAAUUAGUAACUAUUCGGGAAGUGAGAAUCUUCCCCGCCGAAAGAGUCAGGUUUCCUGGGCGAUGAUCGUCAUCCCAGGGUUAGUCGGUCCUAAGCCGAGGCGAAUAGCGUAGGCGAUGGACAACGGGUUAAUAUUCCCGUACCGGUGUGAGUGUUGUAGGAAGUGCGCGGCGUGGUAGUUCGAGCGGUUUAUGGUUAUAACCGUUUAACUGUCUAGACUUCGGUCGAAGCAGGAAUAAAACCGUUUCUAAGAAAUGGAAUUUGAAUGACCCAUGCUGACCAGAAAAGCUUUCCUAUGUUAAUAGCUCACUCCGCCCGUACCGCAAACCAACACAGGUACUCAGGUCGAGUAGACCAAGGCGUUCGAGAGAACCUUCGUUAAGGAACUCGGCAACAAAAGCGGCCGUAACUUCGGGAUAAGGCCUGCCCCGUCACAUUGUUUACAAUGCGACGAAGCAAAUGAAGUUUUGUUGUCAGUUUAAGAACGAUUCAUGUUAAUUAUUUCAUAUGAUAUCUAUCGUUGAGAAGACACAAUAUAAUUGCUCUUAACUGAUGUAACUUCGUCAAUAACGUUGUAAAUAGCGUGACGGGGCCGCAGUUAAUGAGCCCACGCGACUGUUUACCAAAAACACAGGUCUCUGCUAACACGAAAGUGGAUGUAUAGGGGCUGACGCCUGCCCAGUGCCGGAAGGUUAAGGAAGAGAGUUCACGCUUUCGACUGAAGCCCCGGUGAACGGCGGCGGUAACUAUAACCGUCCUAAGGUAGCGAAAUUCCUUGUCGGGUAAGUUCCGACCCGCACGAAUGGCGUAACGAUGUGGGCACUGUCUCAACGAAGGACUCGGUGAAAGUGCAUUGGCGGUAAAGAUGCCGUCUGUCCGCAUCAGGACGAGAAGACCCCGUGGAGCUUUACUACAGCUUGGCAUUGCAUUAGGCUGCGGCUUGUGCAGGAUAGGUGGGAGACUUUGAAGCAGAUCCGCUAGGAUUUGUGGAGUCACCCGUGAAAUACCACCCCUGCCGCCGUUUGAUGCUUACCUGGACCUCAUUUUGCAAAGCAAUUUGAAGGAUUCCAGCGUAGCUAAUUUAAGUAAGUAACACAUAUAUAUAACGGUUAAUCGUAAUUUUUUAUCAAACCUUAUGUUUUAUUUAUUCAUUUAGAUAUACGUGAUUUGAAUUUGAUUUGUAGAAUCAGGUUCAGGGACCGUGUCUGGUGGGUAGUUUAACUGGGGCGGUUGCCUCCCAAAGAGUAGCGGAGGCGUUCAAAGGUCGGCUAACCUCGGAUGGAAAUCGAGGCUAUAGUGCAAGCGCAGAAGCCGGCUUGACUGUGAGACUGACAAGUCAAACAGAUACGAAAGUAGGAGCUAGUUGUCCGCUGUCCGUACAUUCGUACAUGAGAGUGGUAUCGGCAGCGCUUUCGGAUAAAAGUUACCCCGGGGAUAACAGGCUUAUAGCGCCCAAUAGUUCACAUAGACGGCGCUGUUUGGCACCUCGAUGUCGGCUCAUCACAUCCUGGGGCCGGAGAAGGUCCCAAGGGUUCGGCUGUUCGCCGAUUAAAGUGGUACGCGAGCUGGGUUCAGAACGUCGUAAGACAGUUCGGUUUAUAUCCGAUGUGGACGAAAGGAAACUUGAGAGAAUUUGCUCCUAGUACGAGAGGACCGGAGUGAACGAACCUCUGGUGUAUCAAUUGUCGCACCUGCGGCAUUGUUGAGUAGCUAUGUUCGGUUGUGAUAAGUGCUGAAAGCAUCUAAAGCACGAAGCCAUACUCAAGAUUAGGUUUCCCUAUGAGAUCCCGGAAAGACUAUCCGGUUGAUAGGCGCAAGGUGUACGCACUGCAAAGUGUUUAGCCGAAGCGUACUAAUAGAUCCAUUGUCUUUUCAU
This 3478-nucleotide ribosomal RNA is filed under the name Candidatus Saccharimonadota bacterium. RNAcentral describes it as "23S ribosomal RNA". It matches the Rfam family "Bacterial large subunit ribosomal RNA". Lineage: Bacteria; Candidatus Saccharimonadota. The record is from RNAcentral.